Molecule: non-coding RNA, 110 nt
Organism: Colius striatus (speckled mousebird)
Lineage: Eukaryota; Metazoa; Chordata; Aves; Coliiformes; Coliidae
Source: Rfam
GUGCUUGCUUCAGCAGCACAUAUACUACAAAUGGAACAGUACACAGAAGAUUAUUAGCAUGGACCCUGUGCAAGGAUAACAUGCAAAUUCAUGAAGCAGUCCAUAUUUUU